CCUGACUGCUAUCGGAUUGAUACUAAGCCAUGCGAGUCAUUGUAGCAAUACAAGGCAGACGGCUCAGUAACGCGUAGUCAAUCUACCCUAUGGACGGGAAUAACCUCGGGAAACUGAGAAUAAUGCCCGAUAGAACAUUAUACCUGGAACGGUUUAUGUUUCAAAUGAUUUAUCGCCGUAGGAUGGGACUGCGGCCUAUCAGUUUGUUGGUGAGGUAAUGGCCCACCAAGACUAUUACAGGUACGGGUUCUGAGAGGAGUAGCCCGGAGAUGGGUACUGAGACACGGACCCAGGCCCUAUGGGGCGCAGCAGGCGAGAAAACUUUGCAAUGUGCGAAAGCACGACAAGGUUAAUCCGAGUGGUUUCUGUUAAAGAAACCUUUUGCUAGUCCUAGAAACACUAGUGAAUAAGGGGUGGGCAAGUUCUGGUGU
This 431-nucleotide ribosomal RNA is filed under the name uncultured archaeon. RNAcentral describes it as "bacterial SSU rRNA". It matches the Rfam family "Archaeal small subunit ribosomal RNA", at positions 24 to 458 of the family's 1478-position model. The record is from RNAcentral.